This 445-nucleotide long non-coding RNA is filed under the name Mytilus galloprovincialis (Mediterranean mussel). Lineage: Eukaryota; Metazoa; Mollusca; Bivalvia; Mytilida; Mytilidae. The record is from RNAcentral.
UUGACAGUUUAUUAUCUUGUAGAUUUCUAAUUUUUUACUGACAUAUCCUUGUUAUAUAUUUGAAUGCAAUCAGAGGUUUUGAUGGUUGUCUUAAAUAAAAUUGCUAGAGACAAAUAUUUUUUGCCAGGUUUUAGGGAUUGCAUUAAACAAUCAGCCGGUGGUUUCCCGGUGGAAACCUAUCAGAAGGACAUUUACAGCUAACGGUUAUUUUAAUCACCAAUUAUAUUUGACCUUUUGCUUUGAAAUUUUUUACCGAACAUUGACCCAUAAAGCUUGAAAAUAAGAUUACGGUUGGAUGAACCCUGCCGCACAGACACAAAAACCUUACAAUCAUUCCAAUUGCAAAAUAUAGUUGACCUACUGAAUAUAGAUAUGAGUGUAACACCAAAAUGUACAGUAGAUCACUGAUCUAUUGAAUGAGUUCUAGAUGAACCCUGUCUGGCAG